CAAAAGGCCCUUUUCAGGGCCACCCACAAACUCAGCAAGGAGUUGU
Non-coding RNA from Cricetulus griseus (Chinese hamster), 46 nucleotides. The record is from Rfam. Lineage: Eukaryota; Metazoa; Chordata; Mammalia; Rodentia; Cricetidae.